GACCGGCUGGCGCAAUGGUAGCGCGUGGCCCUCCUAAGGCCAAGGUUGCAGGUUCGAGUCCUGCGUCGGUCG
This 72-nucleotide transfer RNA is filed under the name Westerdykella ornata. It matches the Rfam family "tRNA". From Rfam's summary of the family: Transfer RNA (tRNA) molecules are approximately 80 nucleotides in length. Their secondary structure includes four short double-helical elements and three loops (D, anti-codon, and T loops). Further hydrogen bonds mediate the characteristic L-shaped molecular structure. tRNAs have two regions of fundamental functional importance: the anti-codon, which is responsible for specific mRNA codon recognition, and the 3' end, to which the tRNAs corresponding amino acid is attached (by aminoacyl-tRNA synthetases). tRNAs cope with the degeneracy of the genetic code in two manners: having more than one tRNA (with a specific anti-codon) for a particular amino acid; and 'wobble' base-pairing, i.e. permitting non-standard base-pairing at the 3rd anti-codon position. The record is from Rfam by way of RNAcentral. Lineage: Eukaryota; Fungi; Ascomycota; Dothideomycetes; Pleosporales; Sporormiaceae.